UUAAGCGACUAAGCGUACACGGUGGAUGCCCUGGCAGUCAGAGGCGAUGAAGGACGUGCUAAUCUGCGAUAAGCGUCGGUAAGGUGAUAUGAACCGUUAUAACCGGCGAUUUCCGAAUGGGGAAACCCAGUGUGUUUCGACACACUAUCAUUAACUGAAUCCAUAGGUUAAUGAGGCGAACCGGGGGAACUGAAACAUCUAAGUACCCCGAGGAAAAGAAAUCAACCGAGAUUCCCCCAGUAGCGGCGAGCGAACGGGGAGCAGCCCAGAGCCUGAAUCAGUGUGUGUGUUAGUGGAAGCGUCUGGAAAGGCGCGCGAUACAGGGUGACAGCCCCGUACACAAAAAUGCACAUGCUGUGAGCUCGAUGAGUAGGGCGGGACACGUGGUAUCCUGUCUGAAUAUGGGGGGACCAUCCUCCAAGGCUAAAUACUCCUGACUGACCGAUAGUGAACCAGUACCGUGAGGGAAAGGCGAAAAGAACCCCGGCGAGGGGAGUGAAAAAGAACCUGAAACCGUGUACGUACAAGCAGUGGGAGCACGCUUAGGCGUGUGACUGCGUACCUUUUGUAUAAUGGGUCAGCGACUUAUAUUCUGUAGCAAGGUUAACCGAAUAGGGGAGCCGAAGGGAAACCGAGUCUUAACUGGGCGUUAAGUUGCAGGGUAUAGACCCGAAACCCGGUGAUCUAGCCAUGGGCAGGUUGAAGGUUGGGUAACACUAACUGGAGGACCGAACCGACUAAUGUUGAAAAAUUAGCGGAUGACUUGUGGCUGGGGGUGAAAGGCCAAUCAAACCGGGAGAUAGCUGGUUCUCCCCGAAAGCUAUUUAGGUAGCGCCUCGUGAAUUCAUCUCCGGGGGUAGAGCACUGUUUCGGCAAGGGGGUCAUCCCGACUUACCAACCCGAUGCAAACUGCGAAUACCGGAGAAUGUUAUCACGGGAGACACACGGCGGGUGCUAACGUCCGUCGUGAAGAGGGAAACAACCCAGACCGCCAGCUAAGGUCCCAAAGUCAUGGUUAAGUGGGAAACGAUGUGGGAAGGCCCAGACAGCCAGGAUGUUGGCUUAGAAGCAGCCAUCAUUUAAAGAAAGCGUAAUAGCUCACUGGUCGAGUCGGCCUGCGCGGAAGAUGUAACGGGGCUAAACCAUGCACCGAAGCUGCGGCAGCGACACUAUGUGUUGUUGGGUAGGGGAGCGUUCUGUAAGCCUGUGAAGGUGUGCUGUGAGGCAUGCUGGAGGUAUCAGAAGUGCGAAUGCUGACAUAAGUAACGAUAAAGCGGGUGAAAAGCCCGCUCGCCGGAAGACCAAGGGUUCCUGUCCAACGUUAAUCGGGGCAGGGUGAGUCGACCCCUAAGGCGAGGCCGAAAGGCGUAGUCGAUGGGAAACAGGUUAAUAUUCCUGUACUUGGUGUUACUGCGAAGGGGGGACGGAGAAGGCUAUGUUGGCCGGGCGACGGUUGUCCCGGUUUAAGCGUGUAGGCUGGUUUUCCAGGCAAAUCCGGAAAAUCAAGGCUGAGGCGUGAUGACGAGGCACUACGGUGCUGAAGCAACAAAUGCCCUGCUUCCAGGAAAAGCCUCUAAGCAUCAGGUAACAUCAAAUCGUACCCCAAACCGACACAGGUGGUCAGGUAGAGAAUACCAAGGCGCUUGAGAGAACUCGGGUGAAGGAACUAGGCAAAAUGGUGCCGUAACUUCGGGAGAAGGCACGCUGAUAUGUAGGUGAAGUCCCUCGCGGAUGGAGCUGAAAUCAGUCGAAGAUACCAGCUGGCUGCAACUGUUUAUUAAAAACACAGCACUGUGCAAACACGAAAGUGGACGUAUACGGUGUGACGCCUGCCCGGUGCCGGAAGGUUAAUUGAUGGGGUUAGCCGCAAGGCGAAGCUCUUGAUCGAAGCCCCGGUAAACGGCGGCCGUAACUAUAACGGUCCUAAGGUAGCGAAAUUCCUUGUCGGGUAAGUUCCGACCUGCACGAAUGGCGUAAUGAUGGCCAGGCUGUCUCCACCCGAGACUCAGUGAAAUUGAACUCGCUGUGAAGAUGCAGUGUACCCGCGGCAAGACGGAAAGACCCCGUGAACCUUUACUAUAGCUUGACACUGAACAUUGAGCCUUGAUGUGUAGGAUAGGUGGGAGGCUUAGAAGUGUGGACGCCAGUCUGCAUGGAGCCGACCUUGAAAUACCACCCUUUAAUGUUUGAUGUUCUAACGUUGACCCGUAAUCCGGGUUGCGGACAGUGUCUGGUGGGUAGUUUGACUGGGGCGGUCUCCUCCUAAAGAGUAACGGAGGAGCACGAAGGUUGGCUAAUCCUGGUCGGACAUCAGGAGGUUAGUGCAAUGGCAUAAGCCAGCUUGACUGCGAGCGUGACGGCGCGAGCAGGUGCGAAAGCAGGUCAUAGUGAUCCGGUGGUUCUGAAUGGAAGGGCCAUCGCUCAACGGAUAAAAGGUACUCCGGGGAUAACAGGCUGAUACCGCCCAAGAGUUCAUAUCGACGGCGGUGUUUGGCACCUCGAUGUCGGCUCAUCACAUCCUGGGGCUGAAGUAGGUCCCAAGGGUAUGGCUGUUCGCCAUUUAAAGUGGUACGCGAGCUGGGUUUAGAACGUCGUGAGACAGUUCGGUCCCUAUCUGCCGUGGGCGCUGGAGAACUGAGGGGGGCUGCUCCUAGUACGAGAGGACCGGAGUGGACGCAUCACUGGUGUUCGGGUUGUCAUGCCAAUGGCACUGCCCGGUAGCUAAAUGCGGAAGAGAUAAGUGCUGAAAGCAUCUAAGCACGAAACUUGCCCCGAGAUGAGUUCUCCCUGACUCCUUGAGAGUCCUGAAGGAACGUUGAAGACGACGACGUUGAUAGGCCGGGUGUGUAAGCGCAGCGAUGCGUUGAGCUAACCGGUACUAAUGAACCGUGAGGCUUAACCU
RNAcentral lists this ribosomal RNA (2902 nucleotides) under Escherichia coli. RNAcentral's name for it is "23S ribosomal RNA". It matches the Rfam family "Bacterial large subunit ribosomal RNA". The record is from RNAcentral. Lineage: Bacteria; Pseudomonadati; Pseudomonadota; Gammaproteobacteria; Enterobacterales; Enterobacteriaceae.